Cyprinus carpio carpio is the source of this 689-nucleotide long non-coding RNA. NCBI's taxonomy places the organism in Eukaryota, Metazoa, Chordata, Actinopteri, Cypriniformes, Cyprinidae. The record is from Ensembl.
GAGGAGCGUCUCGCUGCAGCCUGCGGUGGACAUCCAACCCGGCCCACAUCCAAGUGUGACGUCACAGACCACGCCCAUGUCAAAAUACGUCACAUUCUCAAUCAUUUUGAAACAGGAAGAAGCAUCGAUAAGAAGAUAAUUUGUAUUGUUUGCCAACCGCUAAAAAGAAGCUGUUGUUUGCCGUGUCGCAUUCUACACAUUUUCAGUCCAAGCCUGAUGCAGAGCAGUUCUCCCGGGUUAAGGGGUCCCUGCUGCAGUUUCACCAGUAAAGAAAAUUACUAGUUACAGUUCACUUGAAGGACCACAUAAGCCAUGCAGUGGUGCAUGGAGGUAUGGAGCGCCAAGAGGACAUAAAGUGGAAGUUUGUAAGGGACAUUGGUCCAGCGUGGUACAGAGUCAUCGUGGGUUAUUCUGUGGGGAGGUGACAGGGCCUGCCGUUCUCCAGAUGGACAGUAAAAAUCAACAGAAUGCCAUCAAAGACUACCUGGAGGGAGAAUCGGAGGAUAUAUUGAAGCAAGGAAUCUCUCUGUGUAGUCUAUGUAUGUAUAUGUGUGUACUGCAUGUCAAGAACUGUUUAUCUGAUCAUUCAGCUGUUCAUUCAGCUGCUCAGACUUUAUAAUAUUUGGAGCAUACCUUUUGUUAAACAACCAGUCAAAAGUUUUUGAACAGUGAGAUUUUUUUAUGUUUUU